CAUACGUGUGUAUUUAUUUAUGCAUUACACACACAUUCAUGUGACAAUAUGUACACUAUGAAAAUGCACACAUGUAGCAAUUUUGAAACAAGAUUUAAAAAUGUAAAUAGCAUUUCUGUCACUUUCUUUCUGUGACAAUCGUGCCUCCCUUCUGUGUGGACAGCAUUAUGUAGCCAGGGCUUUAGAGCCAGAUCCCCUGUGUGCAGAUCGAGGGCUUCGUUCUGUCUCUGUGUGGCUUUAGGCCAGCUCUGGGACCCAGGCUCUCCCCCCCCCCCCGUACCCCAGGAGCUGGGUCAUCAUUCCCACUUGCCUGAGGUAUGGUGGGGGUGACAGGUACCAGUUUAUGGGUGAGGACUCCACAGGUGGGGAGAGCUCUUAUGGGGUAACCAUGGUGAUUGUCACCAAGAUCUGGUUCAUCCUUCCUGGCUAUCAGUGAAACUACAGGCCUGCAGGCUUAUGUUCUGAGCUGUUACCAGAGAUUGUCAGGCCAUGGCUGAGCAUAAACCUGUGACCAGGUCACAGUUCCCCUUUGCCGGGCCCAAGGCCUGCAGCGUGGAUACAGACAGAGGGGCCUGUGCUCGUUGAAGGAAGGCUGGCCCUAGCAUCACUCAGGACAGAGCGGACAAGCUGGUCAGAUUCCAGCUUUCUCUGUGCUCCUUUGGAAGUCCCUAAAAUGUCAGUUUGGGUUCAUGGGCUGGUUACGGUUCUGAUUCCUCCUAACUCCGUAAGGCAAGGCCAUGAAUUAUACAGCGCUGGAGCAGACGGCGCUAAGUAAGGCUGCAUUGCAAGCUGGGCUUAAUAAGGACACUCUGGCUAUUUUUGGAAGGCAUUUGCAAGUCCGAAAUAUGGUGUGUGGAACUCUGAUGUCGACUUCAAAUCCUGCCGCUUUCAGCUGGGUCAGCACUAUUUUCUGUCACUUCCUGUCAACAAGCAACGAGGAGGGGCCGCAGUACUUCAUUUGGCUUUGUUUUUAAUUUUUAACUUUUUGGUGAUAGCACAAAUGGUCCAAUGUGCCUGCCUCCUCCCACCCGGGGCCCUGUCAUCUCAAUAUAUAGCCUCAUGGACUCAAAGGGUAGGGACAGACAUUCCCCAGCUGCAGAAUCAGGAAGAGCUCUGUCCAAUGGUUCUGUGCCACAGGGGGCAAAGAUAAAAGCUUUUUGUUUUGUUUCUUAGGUUUGCAUCAGGGUUUUGUAUGGCCCUCACCUGCAGGUGUCUAUGACACAGUUGUACCAUGUGUCAGGAAUCUCAUUCAAAAAAGGUGAAGGAGCUGAGACCAAGUCUUUACGGUCCUCCAAAAACAGUACCUAGCAUUUAGUUUGAAAUUGCACCAGGAAAAAAGUAAAAGUUGAUAAGCUGCAUCUCCUACAAAUGCUACCAGGUGGGCGACCCGAUAAGCCCAGGUGGCACCUUUGGGGCUUCUGGAGAAUGGGCUGUAUCACCGAGCUGGUGCUGGGUCCGGGUGAUGUGGGGGGUCACACUGGGACUUCUUUUUGUGGGUCUAGAUGGGGGUCUGUUGACAAAUAGAGGAUUUAAAGCACUAAUCAAGCAAGCAGCAAGCCUCAAGAGGCUCAGAGACUUGGAAGCAGGAGCAGCAAGAGGCCUCUACAAGCCUCCUCUGUGGCCACUGUUGACAGUACAGGUUUGUGGUCUGCCUAACUCACUUCCUGGGCCACAUCUCUGUGUACACCAGAUGUGUCCUUGGGACUCGUAAGUGCAAACACAACCCAACACUGCAGGAUCAAUGGUGGGCACAGAGUGCUUUGAAUGCGACCCCCAUGCAGGCUGGACGUGGGUCUCUCUCCAAGGUGUGCUAUUGUCCAUGGGUUCUUCCUUUCUCACUUUUCAAACUUGACAAAGACUUCUGGUUCUCUGACUUCCUCUCCCACUGCAAUUUGAGCCAGAAGAGGAGCAGGGAACACGGCUCCUUCCCCCGCCUCACCGCUCUGUGGCCCUUUCCUCUCCUGCCCCUGGUUGUCUGUAUCUGAUCUCCACAGCACAGCAGUGACUCCACCUCUCUUCUAAGCCACACUCUCUGCCUCAGCUCCUUCAGAGCUACGCCAGGUGAUUCUAUAGGUAAGCACUUAGUACUGAGAACAGUUUUUGCAAACUGACAGCUUUAACUUUCUAGAACUUGAAUCUACUAGGAGUACCGAACGUUUAUUUUGAAAUGAAAAAGGUUGACUUUUUGUCUUUCUCUUUGCAUUUUUGGUAAGAAAGUCCUCAUCUUUUCUGAGGCCAAGACACUUAUAUCUGGAUAUACACGGGUGCAGAGAGCGUUAUCACCGUUUAGUGCCAUUGAUAAACACUCCUGGCUCCCUGGGUCUCCUUGAGUUUUUGCACAGGCCCCAGAAGAAUCAGUUUUGGAAUUAGGGUCCCCAAAUCCUUAUUCUAGUACUGCCAUGAUUUAAGGAAGUCUUUGGAGCCUCGCUUUCCUCAUUUGUAAACUGUGGGGAGCAACGAUAGUCUCUCAGUGUCACUUCGGGUUCAAGGGAGACAAAACAUGAGAGUGAUCUGCAAAGCACAAUGUGCUGUAUGAACUGCAUUACUUUCCAGCUUUCCUCAGAUUUAAACGUGUCCUCUGCGAACCCCAGCCAGGGCUUCCCUUUCGGGGGCCCAUCGCCUUGUGCUCGGGGUUGUGCAAAUACCGUGUUAUGUUGAAUUUAGUUUCUAAUUUUGCUCUGGAUAGAUGAGUGGAUUCUUAGCAAGCACUCAAUAAGUUGGGGAAGGGAAAGCGAGCCAUUCACAGUUUUGGCCCCCUCCUCUUGGGGGAUGUGUGACAAUCUGGACACAAUUUGGUUGUUAUAACUUGGGGUACUUCAAGUAUCCAGUGAGUAGUACCCCACAAUGCUGCUAAAUACCCCACAGUGCACAAGACUGCCCCACAACAGAGACAUGUCCAGCUGCGAAUGUCAGCAGCACCCUGUCUAGGAACCCUGCAGCAGACUUUCUUUCUAAACAACUCCAAGUCAUAAAUCUUAUGUGUUUGGAAUUGGAAGGCAAUCUGUGCAACCUCAGUGAAAACUGUACUCCGGGUUUAGAAAUGUUUGAAAACUUCUUGAUUAUUAUUAAAGAAAGGAACAAGAUCAGGAAGAUGGUGGCUAAAUAAAAAAGGAAGAUUCUGACAAUUUUCCUACUGGGGGUAGAAGAAGAGAGAAAUUUGCGAAACCCCAAACUGAAGGGAUGAAAGUGUGGGGAUCAAGCAGGGUAGGGCUGGGGCUGGGGCUGGGCUGGGCUGGGAGCCCCCAGGGAUGGUGCAGGAGGUCAGCCCAGUUGCUUCCGACCUCCUUCCUGCAGAGGCAGUGUCUUCCCCACCUGUUGAAGUGCGGGCAUGGGCCUUUUCAGGGUCACUGAAAUGUGAGCUGAGGUGACACCCCCUUGGAGUAGACACUUUCACAGUGAAUGUGUGCUUCUGCUGUUUGCCAUACGGUCACUUAGUCAGUCUGGGUCAUAAGAUGAGUCAACAGCCACACAGAGCAUGACCUGUAGCUGCCAUAAAGCUGGGGAAAGAAACAAAUACCAGAUGCCUCGAAUGCCUGCUGUUGAGUGAUGGUACUAUUUGUUACUGCCUCCUAGCUUAGCAUAUCCUGACUAGUGCACUGUAGUAAGCCUGAUUUAGGAAGGGCACGAACCUGCCUUUUUAUCCUCGUGUGUUGACUUGCAUGGAGAUGAUGGGAGGUCUUGCCUGAUGGAACUGGUGUAGGGCACAGUGGCUCCUCAUCUGUCCAUCUGGGCUCUCAUAACUUGAAGGGCCAGUGGCCAGAGUAGAAAGAGCCACCGAAAGCAAAGCAAACCUCAAACCCCUCUCCUUGCUGGUAAGUGCCAUCUCUAGAAAGAUAAAAUGGCUCUAAUUUUUAGUCACCACAAAUGUCACUAUUAUCACAGAUGACAUUAAUUUUAAAGAGAAAUGGAAGAAAAUAUGUCACAUUUCUGUCAGUGCAUAUGCUUAGUGAGUGAAAAGUUUAUACCAGAUGCCAAUUUAAAGUAAAAACAUACAAAUAUUUCAUUGUUUGUAUGGAUGUAUAUGUUUCGGUGUGUACGGUUUGUGUCUAUAUAGGUACAGAGCACUGGGCUCUCAACUGGGAGAAAAUUGCUUGUGGAGAACAUUCUAGAAAUGUGUUUGGUUAUCCCCUGCUGAGGGGUGGGCAGCCCUACUGCAUCUAGGGGGGAGCCCGGGAUGUUACUCAUGUAGAGUGCACAGGACAGUGUAUUAUUUGGUGAUGGCAUCGAUGAGAGUGGGCCAUCCCUGCACAGGUCCACACCUAGAUUAGCUGGUAUGUGUGAGACAUAGAGGAUGGGGACUUUUCUUCAGAGCACUGCCUUGUUCAUUUCCCAUCCCCAUCUUGGCUGCCUCAUUUGAAAGAAACCACGUGUGUCAGCUAGUGGGAGGCCAGCCCGCGUAGCCCUUCUGGGAUACGUUCUCUUGGCUCUCUGUGUUCCCUGAAAACACACACAGAGUCAGGUUCCACUGUCCUGUGGUUGAUGUACACCCCAUGUGCUGUGUGGCACAUCUGGGCUGGGCAGCACCAAGAAAGGGAUUGAACUCAGGACUCGCACUUGCCAGGAAAGCGGAGGCUACCAGGCGAGAGGCACACCGAACCCAGGCUUCCUGACAGUGCCGCCAGCUCUCACAGCCCAGGAGUGGGUCUCGUCACGACAUGCCCGGCGUGGGAAUUCAGAAACUGGAGCCACCAGUCACUCCGCACGCCUAUGAUGAGGAGCCCCUGACUGCAUGUGGCACGCCAAGCUCUUCAUGAGCACUUUCAGUUGCUUCAUGUACUUUUGGAUCUGUGUGGUUUAUGGACCCAGAGUCAAGGAGAGGUUUGUCUGCCAAGCCUGGAGCUCAAUGAAGCUUCCUGAACUGCAAAUAUGAUCACGUGACUCUUAGACGUUUCUUCUCCCUGAACCCCUCUGUGUCAUCUCUCUCUCACUCCAAACUCUUGCUCACCCUGGAACCCUGCCUCAACUUCCCUCUGAUCCUUUUCUCCUUCAGUAGUUAACCCAGUCAACAAACACUGAUGGGGCGCUGUUGCUGCCUGCGGUGUGGUGUGAGAGGUUUCACGGCUUAUGGAAGAACACUGGUCUGGUAGACAAAAGACCAGGGUCCUGCAAGCCCAGGGCUGGGCCUUAGUUUAGCUAUGUAUGAAACAGAAAGAUGAUUGAGGGACUGCAAAACACAGGAGGAAACAUACACAGGAUCCAACAGUAAAGCAGUGUGGGUUUUGGCACAGUCAGGAUGUUGGCUAUGCUGUUCUCUUGACUGAGUCCUUCUAGGGAUACCUGCUAAUCUCAGGGUGGCUUGUUUCACGGUCACAAAACGGCUGCCAGAGAUCUCUGCAACCAUAUGCCUCACAGUGAGGGAGCAAGAAGCAGAGGUAUUUCAGGCAUUAAGAAGUAGUUACUUAGAACCAGGCCUGCUGUGACUGAGCCUGCAUCAUGGGGCCAGAGCUGGAGCAGGAGAGGCUAUGAGGUACCUUGAACAUCGGUCCCGGGGAAGCUUACUUUUGCAUCUAGCAAAGCCCAGGGUUCAGGCUGACUGGUUCACCUUGAGUUACCCAAGUGGCCAUUGAGGCCAUACAGAGAUAGGACAUGCAAAAAGAAGCCAUUUCCACAUUAGCACAAGAGCGGGUAAAGUUACUGAACUUGAAAGUUUGCAGAAGAUGCUGCAGGGCUGGGAGCUAAACUCUGAGGUUGGGGUGUGGGCGGGCUGGGCUGAUGUCCCUGAGGCCCAUGUGCUGUGGUUGCAUCUGCCCCAAAGGGGGUGAACUGGAGUCACCUGUGGCUGCUGGGGGGAAGUGUGGCAGGGGUGCCAGGAACAGGAAGCAGUGGUUUGGAUGCAAUCCCUCCCCCUCUGCCUGCCCACAGUGCUGGCGGGAGGGAGCCUGGCAGGGGAGGAGGGGCAGCAGCCAAUACCCAGGGGUUCACAGGAGGACACGAAGUAGAGAGGCACAGGGCAAUGUGGAGCUGCCCCCCAGGGUGGAUGGUGGCCCCUUGCUUCUGUUCCCUCAAAGCCUCUGUGCAAAUCAGAGGCAGGAGCCGCUCAGGGCAGGGCUACCUGCAGCAGGGUGCUGUUCGGCAAGCCGAGGAGGAUACCCUCUUGCACAGUCAGGUGUGAUGGCCCUACAUCCGUUCAGCUACAAGUACAUUGUGCAUCUGUAACAUGUGGGCAUGUGCCACACAUGUGCACGCAUGCAUAUGCAAGCACACACACCCGUACACAUAUGCACACACACGCAAACGAAAGCACGGUUCUUACAAACUUGGCUCCUAUGUGACCACAGGAGGACAAAUAGGGAUGGUUUGCUUUGACCACACAAGGGAGCAGGCCAUGCUGUUGUCUCACCAUUUCCUGCCCUCUGGGGAUAGGGUUUAGGUGGUAGCCUCUGUCCUUACCACAUGUCUUGCAGCUCUCGGGUAUGGGCCCAUGUCUUCUGAAGGACCUUUGAGGGGGACAGGGUCUGGUGAUCUGGGCAUUUCAGACAGGAGGUGCUGGAGAAGCCUGAAAGGGCUCUUUCAGAUCCCUUCGGGAUAGGUGCUCGGCUGGAAAGUGACCUGGUGAUAAUGCUGGAGACAAUACCAUAGCUGUCUUAGACUAGGUUCUCCAGCCCAGCCUGGGUGUGGUUUGAGCAGUUGGGCCACCUGUGGGAGAUGUCCCCAUGAGGAAGAGAGGAAUCAGGGUGGCCUCACGGACAAGGUGUCCAGCACCACGGCUUUAGCGAAGCCCCAGUGAGGCCCAUCCUGGGAUCUAGAGUUAAGAGACCAUCACAGUGGUCUCCCAACCCAAGGCAGGGCUGGGAACCCACACAUGGACAGUCGGCAGCCAGGGCUACUUGGGAGGAAGUGUGACCUCAGGAUAGGCAGUUUCUAGUGAGGUCAAGCUGUGAGCUUUCAUCCAGGUAGCAGGAGGAUGAAGGGUCAGCCCUGUAGGCAAAUCGAUCUCCACUCCAGUGGUGACAGUGAGGAGCAGGGUGACAACAGUUACCCCACUCUGGUCACUUUACUGAGGUAGAUCCUCUUCUGCAACUGGGUCCUUGUCAGGUCUUCUGUCCCAGUGACCGGUGCUAACACCCUCUGCUCCCCACGUUGCAAUCCAUUAGUAGGACUCACCAGCUCCAUGUCUGAAUUACAUCCUGAAUCUGUCCAUUUCUUUCCACCUUACCUCCAUCUCUAGCCAAGCCAGUGGACCUUCCCUGAUGGACCAUCACAACUUCCCAACUCUCCAUCCGAGCUGUUCUGCCUGCUGUGUUCCACUCCAUAGCUAGAGCAGCUUCCAGCAUACUCCUAAGCAAAGCUCUUUAAUCACGUCUUGUUACACCCAAAAGCAAUGUUCCCACUGCUUACCGUGGACACAAAUCCCCAUGGAAUAAUCAUCCUCGUCUCCUCCAAGCUCCCUUUUUCCUGGCUGGCUGUGCCCUCACUAUACUGCAUCCCUUUCCACUCCUCAAACAGAUCACAAUCAUGCUUGCCCAAGUGCUUGGCAUGAUCUCCCCGGAACCUGAGCCUAGGCUCAUGGCCACCUUCCCAGGGAGGUCUGCUGGGUCCCUCUAGCUCAGUUCUCAUAGGGACAACAGUCCAAGCUGGAUUCCAAGCGGUGCCUCCCUCGUGCAGGCUGGGGUUGUGUGUUGUUCAAAGCUGCCUCUACACAGUGUAGCCUGGCCGGGGGUGUCUGUGUUGGAGAAAUUUCUCCACAUAAAUUAUCUGCAAGGUCCCAGGGCCUGGGAGCCUAGGUUGUCCUGACUAUGGUGCAUCCCAGCUGGAUCUCAACCAGAGGAAACUCAGGAGGGCAGGACUUACGUCUCCAUCUUCUAAGUGAGUUAGUUAUGGCACAGAAGGGAGACGGCCUCAUCACUGAAUUUAUAUUUGCACCGGAAACUGCCUGGCCCUCAGUGGAACAAUGAAGGGAAAUUUGGUUACACGUCUACCGCUCCGGGGUAAGUAGAAACAAAGAUGAGGUUGGAAAUAUUUUUCACAUGUGUGCUUUCUUGGGCCAUUCAGAGAAAAACAAGCUCUUGCACCAUCUGAAGGAAGCCAUCAUCCAGUUUACAAGUAGUGAUGGAGUCUUGGCUGUGGUCAGAACAUCUGGAGGACUUGGGUCGGGCUUUUGCAGGGCCCUAGGGUGGGGUGAGGUCCCUUUUGUUGUGGAGCUGACUUGUAGCAAGGGAGACAGGGCAGAGAAAAGGGGCCUAGGGACAACACUCAUAGAGGCCUGGGCUGCUGGAAUUCUGCAGGUGGGAUGCUGGGAUACACAGGCUCUUAACAGAUUGAAAUGCAAUCUCCCUUGCGUGUCCUGAUUCUCUGCCCUUCUCUCCCUGCCAUUUCCUUGCCCAGCUGGGGAGCACUAAGGAAUGCAUCGCUGUGCCUGACACACCCUACCUGCCCGAUGGCUGAUUAUCUCCUGCAAACACACACCAGCAGCAGCCUCUUGGCUAGGAAGCCCUUUUGCACCUCACGGCUGCUUUUUGGAACAAGAGCACGCUUGGUGUUUGAUGCCUUUGUAGGAAGUGGGAAGCACUGCCCAGAGGGAUGAAGGGGUAAAGUGGAAAUGCAGGGCUUGGCUUCAGAGUGGAGCACAUGCAGGCUGAGAGCAGUUCUGCUGCCUGAGCAAAGUUAGGCUCAGGGCAGAGAGGGCGAGAACCCAGGAAGGAGCGAGGUAGGAAGGAGGGAGCCGGCACUUGCUAAUCUGAAGUUAAUUUUGAAUUGCCUUGAAAAUCACCAUGCACCAUCCAGCUCUGCCUUUGAUGGUGGAAAUAAAGCAGCUGCUUUUUCUUCCUCUUCAGGGCUGUCUUCCCCCCAGCGGUGCAGCAAAUUAGGCAGAGCAGCAGUGGAAGUUGCAGUGGGUGUAAUUUCUCAGGAAAAGGUCAGGCUAAUUGUUGGUUAGUAGCUAGUAGUGGUGGGGUGCACUAUGGGGGGGGGCUGCUCCUGCCUGCUCUAUCCUGCCCCUCAAUAAUGCUGCCUGGCAUCUUCAAAGACAACCACCAAGGACUUUGUUUCAAGCUGAGGCCCACUGCCAGCCUUUCACCAGCCUGCCUGUAGCACGUCACAUUCCUGGAGGCAGUGGGGGAGAGAGCUGGGAAGCUGGGAAGACACCAUCCCUUUGCCCUGGUACAACUUCCUGAGCAGCCCCUGACGCACCCUCUAAUUCCUGCAGCAACACCUUCCCUCUGGGAAGUUAGCAGUGCGGCUCCUGACCAGGGAAUACAGGCUUCCUCAUUUCCCCUUCUUUCUUUCCAUCUUCAAUUCAGUUACUAUCACAGAAGCUUCCUGGAAGGAUACCCAGUGCACGCAUCUCUAGAAAGCCUCCUGCGCAUCUUGGGUCAGAUAUAACCAGCAAUUCGGGGAGCUGAUCUUUGCCACUGGAGGCCCUCCUAGCAUGGUUUUGAGUGAGCAGCAAGGUGGCAAGAUGCCCAAGAAGGGGGUCAGGAGGUGCAUAGUCCUGUGAUGGAUGGAAAAACUGUCAUUUCAAAACUAAUGGUGGCUCCACUCUUGAGAGAUGCAAAUUUUAAUCUUUGCACAGACUUGGCCUCAUGCUAUGAGAGCUACUCAAAGGUCCACCAAGGGAGCUUGCUCCUGACUAGGGAGUGAUCCAAAGGCAGAUGACUGAGAUGAGAGAUGGCAGGUUACCUUGUUCCCGGUAGCUACAGUGGCGGCCUUAGCUCCUCCCUUUCCAUCCUCACCUCCCCCUUCCCUCCUGAUUUUUGAUCUUGCUUCAUUGCAUAAUCAGAUUGAUUUUGGAAACUCAGGAUUCUGUCCUGACUACUCCUAGGCUGGAAGUAUCUUUUUGUUCCCAAGGGCGAUACUCAGCUUGGCAAGUGGAGGUCUGGGAAGACCACUUAAUCCUGGCUCAGCCACCUGCAUUCUUGAUGGGACCAAUAUGAUCUUAGGUCCUUUGUAUAGUGACCGCCUGGUUGUGGUCACAGAUCAUCCAGGUCCUUGGUGGCCUAUAUAUGCCAACACAGGGACUGCUUGGGUUUCUGCAUGUUUGAUCAAGGAUCUCACUCCUGCCUCCCACACUAGUCUGAGUUGAGCGGGAGCUUGUGGGGACUGCUAGGUGUGCCACUCACUUCCCUUUGGCUCUUGGUUCCCAUCCCCUUGGCCCCAGCUCCCGCACUUCCCUUGGAAAAUGCCCAUCAGCAGGUGUCCGGAUGUCCCUUACCCCUAUUCUCACAGACUUUGCCCUGUCAUUCCUUGGGGCAAGCCAAUGUCACCUGAAUAGAGAUGUAGACAACAGACUGGGCUGGACAGAUGACCUUCAGGCAAACAAGGACUCCACCAGACUCAGUUAGCCAAGGGACAACCUUACAGCUUGUCACGAACCCAUUGAAAGGCCACAUUGAAGGGAAUAAUCCUGCUCUCCAAUGGAUGUGGGUCCCAUCUGGAGGUUCCUAACAAUUCUAAAUAAUAUUUUCUUUUUAGGGGCAACACAUGCACCCCUGAGAUAGUGCUUCUUAUGUGGAAGCCAGACAUGAAUUUGGCUUUUAUCUGAAGCCUUAGGUUUAAGUCAGUGACACUUGAGCUUUUAGAGCUAUAAAUGAUGCGAACAACUCACUGCAGGCCUUGUAAUGUAGGUUCACCACCAGAGGUUUAAGUCAACACCACUGGCAGAUCACAUAGUCCCCCAGAUGGGAGCUUCCUAGAUGGGUGAGGGCUCUACUUAUGUGUGCCUUUUGGAUGGUUUUCUCUAUCACGCAAGUCCUCCCAGUUAAAAGGAGGAUGAAGUUUGACCCUGAAGGCAGCUGAUCUCACUUCGACCCUCAGAAUAAUCUGAAUCUUUUUCCUUGCAGGCACGAUGGAACCUAGGUAGCCCCUAAUCCAUCCUCCUUUGCCUGGCUUCCUUCCUUGGUCAGAUGGAAAGAGGUGUCCAGGGGCAGAAGAUGGACUUUGCCUGGUUUCCCUGAGGGACUUUGAUUGUUUAUGGCAUCUGUUCACAUGGCUGGUCAGAGACUCUGGCAAGGUGUGGUUCCUAUCUUACCUUGCUGCUUAGAGUCCUGCUGGCAGCGGUCUUAAUUAAAUGUCAUAGGAGCCUAACAACACAUUUAGUCCCACCCUUGGCUGAUCCUAUUGGAGAGGAUCAAGGGAAAUACUUAAGGGAAAGUUGGCCAGAAGCUAAGAUUGUAAAAUGCAGGUUAAUAUCUUUGGGAAAUGAUUCUUCCUGGGGCUUGUGAGUUUCUGAAGAACAGGAGUAGUUUGGUCCAGACGAUCUUUUAUAGGAUGUUGUAUUGCAAACAACCUUAGCAGACAAUAUCUCCCGUGAAACCCAAGGGCAGGAGAGCCCACUAUUCACUUGAAAAUAUUUAUCACUAUGUA
Molecule: long non-coding RNA, 11301 nt
Organism: Cavia porcellus (domestic guinea pig)
Lineage: Eukaryota; Metazoa; Chordata; Mammalia; Rodentia; Caviidae
Exons: 3
Source: RefSeq, a predicted model, not a curated record